GAGAGAGAGAGAGAGAGAGACUGCAGUGUCAGUGAAAGAUGGCAGGCCAGCAGCCCUGGUACUUAUCCAUACUCAACUUUCAAAUCGGUUAGUGGGACACAUUUAGCACUGCCUUCUGGAUAAUAGGAACAGCUGUAGCCAGUAUGGCUUCGGAAACAGCCAAACCACUGUUGAGAACAUUAGAAUUUGUCAAUUUUCAAAAUUAGAAUGAAAUAAAAGUACAAACGAAUCAAUCUGUAAAGAACGAUAGAAACGUUUACCGUGCUUUUAAUCCUCAAAAUGUUUUGCAACUAGUCUCAGCUGGGUGAGUGUUAUCCCUCAUUGUACAGGUGGGCAAACUGAGGCAGAGAGGGGCAGCGAUAUGCCAAGCUGAUUGGAAAAAUGGCAAAAAAUCCCAUCAUUUUUUCCCAUAAAACAAAUGUCGUCAUAAUUUUAAAUCUUUGCAAACCACUUCCUAGUGGUAGUGCUAUGCUGAAGGGAAGCAGCACUUAUACGGCCUGCUCUGUGUGUUGGUGGGAUGGAGCGUGUACCCGACACAGGCUAUGCAUGGGUUAAAUGUGGCUGUGAGGCCAGUUCUGUUAGUGGGCUGCACCUGGAGGCUUAAUUGAUUAUGAGGCCCAGCUGGGCAGAAGCAGCCUGGCUUGUACAAGGAGAAGAAGUUUGUAGCAGAAGGGGGCUGUAAUGGGGGUGUCUGUAGCCACCAUCUGGGAGCAGACAAAUGGUGAGGAGGAAACCCGGGGUGAAUAAACCCUGACUCCUAGCCCUGGAAGAAGGGCCAACCCAGAGAAGUUGUGGGGAAAGGGAGCCUGGGAGAGGCUGGGUAGGAAGGAACCCAGGGAAACAACAGCAAGGAGGGGGAUGGGGCAGACCGUGGCUGCUGGUUAUAGGCUCCCUGGGCUGGAACCCUGUGUAGAGGGAGGGUCUGGCUUCCUUACCAGCCACUGACCAAAGAGGCAUGAGCCCAGAGCCCGGGCUGGAGACCUGACACAACGGCUAGGAAUUACUUGUUGGACUUUAUCAUCAAAUAUCGACAAACAUCGUCGCCUGGCUGGCGGGAAGCGAGGCCGCCACGGCACCGGAACGACUGUCAGCAGGGGGCACCGUAUGGGGAGAGAGCUGCUACGCCACCCCUGGCUCCUGCGCCUGUCUAGCUGCCAAUCUGUGUUCCCAAAAGGGAAGAGUCCGCGUUCUCCCUCCUUCCACCCGGCAUUAGAUCAGUACACAGAGUGUGCCAGUUUUCCAAUGGUUGGCCGACAGUAAAUUCGUGGUUCAAUGAUUCCUGACUAGGCCCUGGUGCAAAGUGAUGCCCUGCCCUGCCCCGGACCAGCAUCACAGCUGGGCUAGCUCUGAACUGAGAAAAUGGAUGUUGUGUGCUGAUGAAAGCACAGACUGGAGAAGGACAGGUUGUGCGAGAGCUGCAGAGCCAGCGUGAACAGCACCCAGAUUGCUGCAUGCAUAUCAAACACCAUCCAGAGAGCCGGUAUAUAAAUAGCAUCUUAAUGAGGAGGCGCUUGGUUUAAACAGGCGUGCAUUGUUCCAAUGGGCUGACUCAACCAAGGACAGCGUAGGCUGUGGAGACAGAGCCCCCUUCCAAACCCUAAUGAUGACCCUUGCGAGUCGAGGGUGGAGGCACAGCUCUAGCUCCAGCGCUA
Trachemys scripta elegans is the source of this 1652-nucleotide long non-coding RNA. RefSeq lists it as uncharacterized. The transcript is spliced from 5 exons. The record is from RefSeq and is a predicted model, not a curated record. Lineage: Eukaryota; Metazoa; Chordata; Testudines; Emydidae.